GAGUUUGAUCCUGGCUCAGAUUGAACGCUGGCGGCAGGCCUAACACAUGCAAGUCGAACGGUAACAGGAAACAGCUUGCUGUUUCGCUGACGAGUGGCGGACGGGUGAGUAAUGUCUGGGAAACUGCCUGAUGGAGGGGGAUAACUACUGGAAACGGUAGCUAAUACCGCAUAACGUCGCAAGACCAAAGAGGGGGACCUUCGGGCCUCUUGCCAUCAGAUGUGCCCAGAUGGGAUUAGCUAGUAGGUGGGGUAACGGCUCACCUAGGCGGCGAUCCCUAGCUGGUCUGAGAGGAUGACCAGCCACACUGGAACUGAGACACGGUCCAGACUCCUACGGGAGGCAGCAGUGGGGAAUAUUGCACAAUGGGCGCAAGCCUGAUGCAGCCAUGCCGCGUGUAUGAAG
RNAcentral lists this ribosomal RNA (405 nucleotides) under uncultured bacterium. RNAcentral describes it as "bacterial SSU rRNA". It matches the Rfam family "Bacterial small subunit ribosomal RNA", at positions 9 to 410 of the family's 1533-position model. The record is from RNAcentral.